This 1037-nucleotide ribosomal RNA is filed under the name Sarcophaga samia. RNAcentral describes it as "eukaryotic LSU rRNA". It matches the Rfam family "Eukaryotic large subunit ribosomal RNA", at positions 104 to 952 of the family's 3401-position model. Lineage: Eukaryota; Metazoa; Arthropoda; Insecta; Diptera; Sarcophagidae. The record is from RNAcentral.
UCAGUUCAGCACUAAGUCACUUUGUCUUUAUGGCAAAUGUGAGAUGCAGUGUAUGGAAUGUCAAAUUUCUAGUAUGAGAAAUUAACGAUUUAAGUCCUUCUUAAAUGAGGCCAUUUACCCAUAGAGGGUGCCAGGCCCGUAUAACGUUAAUGAUUACUAGAUGGCAUUUCCAAAGAGUCGUGUUGCUUGAUAGUGCAGCACUAAGUGGGUGGUAAACUCCAUCUAAAACUAAAUAUAACCAUGAGACCGAUAGUAAACAAGUACCGUGAGGGAAAGUUGAAAAGAACUCUGAAUAGAGAGUUAAAUAGUACGUGAAACUGCUUAGAGGUUAAGCCCGAUGAACCUGAAUAUCCAUUAUAGAAAAUUCAUCAUUAUGAUUUUAAUAUUAAUAAUAUUAUAAUAAUGGUGUGCAUUUUUUCUAUAACGGACAUUGUAAUCUAUUAACAUAAAACAUAAUUUAUCAUAAGAUCAAUGAUGCGUAAGUUUAUUCAAAUUAUUUUGCUUGCAAUUUAACAUAGAAUAAAUGCUCUUGAUUUGAUAAAGUGUUGAUAGAUUUAUUAUAUAUAGUGCUUAAAUAUAUUUUAUAUAUUUUAUAAUAGCAUAUUAAUCAUUGAUUUUUAUGUUUAUUUAUAUGCACUUAUAUGAUUAACAAUGCGAAAGAUUCAGGAUACCUUCGGGACCCGUCUUGAAACACGGACCAAGGAGUCUAACAUAUUUGCAAGUUAUUGGGUAUUAAAAAACCUAAUAGCGAAAUUAACAUAACUUUAAUGGGAUUAGUUUUUAGAUUAUUUUUAAUAGUCUAUUAAUUCAAUCCCGGGGCGUUCUAUAUAGUUAUGUAUAAUAAUAUUUAUAUUAUUUAUACCUCUAACUGGAGCGUACCUUGAGCAUAUAUGCUGUGACCCGAAAGAUGGUGAACUAUACUUGAUCAGGUUGAAGUCAGGGGAAACCCUGAUGGAAGACCGAAACAGUUCUGACGUGCAAAUCGAUUGUCAGAAUUGAGUAUAGGGGCGAAAGACCAAUCGAACCAUCUAGUAGCU